Molecule: ribosomal RNA, 523 nt
Filed under: uncultured bacterium
Lineage: Bacteria
Description: bacterial SSU rRNA
Rfam family: Bacterial small subunit ribosomal RNA
Source: RNAcentral
CAGGACGAACGCUGGCGGCGUGCCUAAUACAUGCAAGUCGAACGGUCUUUCUAUGGAAGCUUGCUUCCACUGAGAAGAUAGUGGCGAAACGGGUGAGGUAACACGUGGGUAACCUGCCCAUAAGAGGGGGAUAACAUCCGGAAACGGGUGCUAAUACCGCAUAGUUUUCUUGAUCGCAUGAUUGAGAAAGGAAAGACGGCCUUUGUGCUGUCGCUUAUGGAUGGACCCGCGGCGUAUUAGUUAGUUGGUGAGGUAACGGCUCACCAAGACGAUGAUACGUAGCCGACCUGAGAGGGUGAUCGGCCACAUUGGGACUGAGACACGGCCCAAACUCCUACGGGAGGCAGCAGUAGGGAAUCUUCCGCAAUGGACGAAAGUCUGACGGAGCAACGCCGCGUGAGUGAAGAAAAGGUUUUCGGAUCGUAAAACUCUGUUGUCAGAGAAGAACAAGUUGGAGAGUAACUGCUCCAGCCUUGACGGUAUCUGACCAGAAAGCCACGGCUAACUACGUGCCAGCCGCCGC